Molecule: non-coding RNA, 28 nt
Filed under: Rattus norvegicus (Norway rat)
Lineage: Eukaryota; Metazoa; Chordata; Mammalia; Rodentia; Muridae
Source: RNAcentral
UCUGGAUCUAGGAAAUUUAGGAGAGUGA